This 1875-nucleotide small RNA is filed under the name Pongo abelii (Sumatran orangutan). Its description in RNAcentral is "retained intron". The record is from RNAcentral. Lineage: Eukaryota; Metazoa; Chordata; Mammalia; Primates; Hominidae.
ACAGUUUAACUUUUGUGCUUCUGGGCAGAGGUAUGGUCCUUGGGACAGUUCUCCUUCAACCUAAUAGUUAUGGCAGAGAUCAGGACACUUCUCUUUGCUGCCUGUGCACUGAGGCCUCAGAAUCUGCUCUACCCGACUUGACAGAUCACUUUGCCAGCUGUGUGGAGGAUGGAUUUGAGGGAGACAAGACUGGAGGCAGUAGUCCAGAAGCUUUGCAUCGUCCCUAUGGUUGUGAUGUUGAACCCCAGGCACUAAAUGAGGCUAUCAGGUGGAGCUCCAAGGAGAACUUGCUCGGAGCCACCGAGAGUGACCCUAAUCUCUUCGUUGCACUUUAUGAUUUUGUAGCAAGUGGUGAUAACACACUCAGCAUCACUAAAGGUGAAAAGCUACGAGUCCUUGGUUACAACCAGAAUGGCGAGUGGAGUGAAGUUCGCUCUAAGAACGGGCAGGGCUGGGUGCCAAGCAACUACAUCACCCCAGUGAACAGUCUGGAAAAACACUCCUGGUACCAUGGACCUGUGUCACGCAGUGCAGCUGAGUAUCUGCUCAGCAGUCUAAUCAAUGGCAGCUUCCUGGUACGAGAAAGUGAGAGUAGCCCUGGGCAGCUGUCCAUCUCGCUCAGGUACGAGGGACGUGUGUAUCACUACAGGAUCAAUACCACCACAGAUGGCAAGGUGUAUGUGACUGCUGAGAGCCGCUUCAGCACCUUGGCAGAGCUUGUACACCAUCACUCCACAGUGGCUGAUGGGCUGGUGACAACAUUACACUACCCAGCACCCAAGUGUAAUAAGCCUACAGUCUAUGGUGUGUCCCCCAUCCACGACAAAUGGGAAAUGGAGCGAACAGAUAUUACCAUGAAGCACAAACUUGGGGGCGGUCAGUAUGGAGAGGUUUACGUUGGCGUCUGGAAGAAAUACAGCCUUACAGUUGCUGUGAAAACAUUGAAGGAAGAUACCAUGGAGGUAGAAGAAUUCCUGAAAGAAGCUGCGGUAAUGAAGGAAAUCAAGCAUCCUAAUCUGGUACAACUUUUAGGUGUGUGUACUUUGGAGCCACCAUUUUACAUUGUGACUGAAUACAUGCCAUACGGGAAUUUGCUGGAUUACCUCCGAGAAUGCAACCGAGAAGAGGUGACUGCAGUUGUGCUGCUCUACAUGGCCACUCAGAUUUCUUCUGCAAUGGAGUACUUAGAGAAGAAGAAUUUCAUCCAUAGAGAUCUUGCAGCUCGUAACUGCCUAGUGGGAGAAAACCAUGUGGUAAAAGUGGCUGACUUUGGCUUAAGUAGAUUGAUGACUGGAGACACUUAUACUGCUCAUGCUGGAGCCAAAUUUCCUAUUAAGUGGACAGCACCAGAGAGUCUUGCCUACAAUACCUUCUCAAUUAAAUCUGACGUCUGGGGUAAGGUUGAAAGGGACUUUUUUCUGUGUCAUUUUAUUUUAUUUUUUAUAAAUGCCUUGAUUCUUUAGAGCUUCUCUUAUGAUGUUCAGUAUCCUCUAUCUUUACCUGCCAUUCUUCUUCAGUUAUUCAGCAAGCAUUUGUUAAAUACCUCCUAUCUGCCAGGACUGUGUUAAGAACUUUGCAUAGACAGAAGUAUAGGCCUGGUGUGGUGGCUCACGUUUGUAAUUACAGCACUUUGGGCCGAGAUAGGUGGAUCACUUGAGGUCAAGAGUUCGAGACCAGCCUGGCCAACAUGGCGAACUCCCAUCUCUACUAACUACAAAAAUUAGCCAGGCGUGGUGGCAUGCGCCAGUAAUCCGAGCUAUUCAGGAGGCUGAAGACUGAGGCAGGGGAAUUGCUUGAGCCUGGGGGGCAGAGGUUGCAGUGAGCCAAGAUGGCGCCACUGCACUCCAGCCUGGGCAAUAGAGUGAGACUCUGUCU